UACGGAGGGUGCAAGCGUUAUCCGGAUUCACUGGGUUUAAAGGGUGCGUAGGAGGGCAGGUAAGUCAGUGGUGAAAUCUGUGGGCUUAACCCACAAACUGCCGUUGAUACUAUCUGUCUUGAAUAUUGUGGAGGUGAGCGGAAUAUGUCAUGUAGCGGUGAAAUGCUUAGAUAUGACAUAGAACACCAAUUGCGAAGGCAGCUCGCUACACAUAUAUUGACUCUGAGGCACGAAAGCGUGGGGAUCAAACAGG
RNAcentral lists this ribosomal RNA (253 nucleotides) under uncultured bacterium. RNAcentral's name for it is "partial 16S ribosomal RNA". It matches the Rfam family "Bacterial small subunit ribosomal RNA", at positions 524 to 776 of the family's 1533-position model. The record is from RNAcentral.